Molecule: long non-coding RNA, 5414 nt
Filed under: Mus musculus (house mouse)
Lineage: Eukaryota; Metazoa; Chordata; Mammalia; Rodentia; Muridae
Description: long non-coding RNA chr13:36646958-36652372
Source: RNAcentral
UAGUAGAGGGGAUCUCUAGAGAAAAAGAAUCUAUGGUAUGCAUGUAUAUCAUGAGAUAUACUAAGGGCUAGGUAGUGUAAUAGUGACCAUUUGGACAAUGAAGGAAAUGAGAAUCUCAGCCCACAAAGCUAGAUGCUCCAGUAGUCCUCUUCUGGUGCUGAGGGUUCCUGGAGAAUUGCUGGUCCUGAGCUACAUGAAAAGGCCAAAGAAUCUAAACAAUGGUGGUGGCAUCAGCAGCAACAACAAAGAUAAACACACAGAGCAGCCAAAAGCAAAGGCAGGCAGUCAACUUUUCCCUUCAGUCCUGGAAUUUCUCUCACAGACCUGCACCCCCUGAUUCCUCAGAUGGCCCUAGACCCCAUUAACUUGAGAUUCCCCACCACAGUAUUUCCAAAUUCCAACCUGUAAGCUUCCUGUAAGGGAUUGCCCAGAGGAAAAUAAUGUCCAGUAGAUAGAUCAAAGUUGGCGACUUAACGGUUGGGAUCCUUUUGGCUGCAACCACCCCCCCCCCCAACUCCCACUACUGUAUCAGCAAUUUCUCUUAACUUAAACAUCUUGGUGUUUAUGUCUAGACUUGUUGGAAGAAGAGGAAUACAAAAAGAACAGAAGGUCUAGGCAAGUGGAGGAUGGUGACAACAUGUCUGUAAUUCCAGGUGGAGACAGGAAGACCUUGUGUUUAAGACACAAUUUCAAACACAGAAGGAAAAAAAAAUCCUGAGGCAGAUGUAGAUAUCAGACACAUUUGAGAUGAUGCCCGCCUCAGGUUUAUGUUAUAUGCUCUCUCCAGCCCAAAUUCUAUCCAAAGGGUCCUGUAUUGAGCAUGGGCAAAAGGAUCUCUAAAUAUGUCACACUUUGUCAGGUCAACCCUCUUUGUCUGGUAGAGCCAAGGGUGCUACAAAACAAAACAAAACAAAAAACAAACAAAAACAGUAUUUUGGAGACAUCAGAAAAGUCUCAGUCUUGAUGACCUUGUGUGAAAGUCUGUUCCAGCAGUUACCCCUGCUGUUCAUGUCACCCUGAGCAAGUUACCACCCAUCCCUCCUCCAAUGCAGCUUCAUGGACCACAGCCAUUUCCCCCAAGUUUCUGUACUCCUAACACUCCCUUGCCAAGUGGGCCAGAUAGCCUGGGACUGGCCCCCGUAGACGCCUUUUAUGACUAUGUGUUGUUCAUUAAUUUCUAGAAUGUUCAGCACAAAGUAACACUCCCUCCCCCUCCCCUCCUGGUAGCAGAGAUGGCGGUGCAAUUUCUCAGUGUCCUCAGUCAGUCCUUCCCCACACUCUACCCUGAGGCACCAUAAUGAGAGUUGUGACGACCCUGCUUAUUCUGAAGGGAAUCUGGGCCACACUAGACAGCAGUUUCCCCUGAGCUGAGAGAAGUUAACGAGUGAGGCAGAGAAACGAAUAGGCCUGUCCUUGUUAAUGCCACUGCCUGGUGGUCACAUUAAAAUGGACCUAUCAGAGGAGCCUUCUCACGAAUAAUUGCCACCAAAACAUCCAUCACGCCACAGCUAUUCCUACCAGAGUCCAACCCACCAAUAUACUUAAAUGAGGAAAAGAGAACAAAUUUACUUACAGGGGUCAUUCAUCAGGGUCAUGUUUCCGCUUCUGCUGUUAACCAUUACUGCUUGUUUAUUCUGGAAUCUCUUCUCACAGAGAAUUUGCUCUCGCACCUCAAAGGCACCUGAGAGCUUCCUGCAAGGGAUUGCUCAGAGCUAAAUAACAGUCCAGCAGGUAGAUCGAAGUUGGAGACUUAAGUUCUGUAUGCAAAAACCUUAUUAUCUAAGCAACUUUGUCCCAAGUCAUUUAGCUGUUCUGGUCCUCUUGCUUUUCUAUCAAGCACUGGAUUGCAAUGGAACAGAAACACACAGGAAAUGAAUGCCACAGACAGGUGGCUCCAUGGACUGUUUUUUUUUCUUUAUCUCCCCCCCCACCCAACUUCUUCUUUGCCUUUCUUCUUCCCUCAGGAACUCUAUGUAGUAACAUAGAUAGGACUCUAACUAAUGAGCUUUCCAAGAGCACGGUUAAAGUUGUUCAAACUGAGAGAUUAUGGGUAAGAAUAUAUUCUUCAAUGUAAAGGAUAAAGAAAUUAAUCUUGUUAGAAACAGAACACCUUAUUAAGGAGGAAAGGAACACUGGAGAAGAGGGAAGAAAGCUGUUUCUAUAAGAAGUUCCUGUGGGGUCAGGGAGGAGACACUGAGGAGACAUGGCCCAUGGUCCCCACACAUGCUCUUCUGGCUUGCUUGCUUGUUUUUCUUUUCCUUCCUUCUUUCCUUCCUUCCUUUCUUGCUUUGUUUCUUAGUUUUUCUAUUUGUUUCUUUCGUUCUUUGUUUCUUUCUUUGUUUCUCUUUCUUUGUUUCUCCCCCCCUUUCUUUCUUUCUAAUUUUGGCUAUUUCUUGCAGCUCUGUUGACAGUUUAGCAUUUACCUGCACAAGACUUGAGAGUGUUCUUACGCUUAUCAGUGGUUGCCUUACCUCUGUUCUUGGGUGACAGACAGAGUUACUAUUAUUGUUUGGCUUUAUUUUUUUAAUUAUAUGUAUAUGGGUAUGUAUAUGUCUUAUGUGUAAACAUAUGCAUGUAAGAGCUCAUAGAGGUGGGAAGAGGGCAGCCGAUCUCCUUAAGCUUGUGUUACAGGAUGUUGUAAACCACUCUUUUGGAUGCUGGGAAUCAAACUCAAGUCCUUCAGAAGAAUGGUGCAUGAUUUUAAUUGAUGAGCUAUCUCUCCAACUCCUGCUGUUGCUUUUAACUGACACAAAAUUCAUAUAUUAUAGAGCAUAUUGUGAUGUUUCAACAUGUAUAUAUUGUAUAAUGAUACUAAAGAAUUUAGCAUGACCAUUGCCUCAGACAUUUGUCAGUUUUGUAUGGAGACCUUUCUUCUAGCACUAACAUUUUAAUUUUAUAUGUGGCAACGUUUUAAUGUUCUUGUAGUUCCUCCUCUAUUCCCUCUUUCUCUCCCUCCCACUGAAAAACCUCCUAGUCUCUGUGGCUUCUCUUCUGCUUCCAUUUUACAUGCAUUCUCUGACUCUUCCCCUGGCUACGAUCUCUUUCUCCCUUUCAUGGUCCUCUUUCUAGUUUCCUAUAUAUAAAUCCAUGAUCCACAUUUGAAAGAAAACGUGCAGUAUUAGUGCCUUAUUUCAUGCAAAACUAGCAAAAUAAUUUCUAGUUUUGUUAAAUCUCUGGCAAGUGUUAUAAUUUCAUUUUUCUUUAUGGGUGAAUAAAACUCCUUUGUGUCUAGGCUUCGAGUUUUCUUUAUUAAUUCAUCUAUUGAUGGAUGUCCAGAUUGGUUCCACUUCUUAGCUAUUGUAAAUAGUGCAUCAAUCAACAUGUACAUAGGGCCAAGAUUUUAAGUCUUCUGGAAGGCAUCACAGUCUACCAUCCCGGGGCUGGGCAAUGUCUUCUCUGACUCCCAAACAUCCCCUCUCACUACUUUUCUUGUUUGUUUCGGUUUUCCUCAUCUAUAUGCCCUCUUCUCAGAAACUACUACCAUCUUUUAUUGUUUUCAAAUAUACUUUCCUCAUAGUAACAAUCUGAAUUGGGGUACCUUAGCCUGGGUGCAUUGUUGGUACAGGUCAUUGGGAUGUUAUUAUUGUUCAUGUUCAUUUGUGUCUACACUCACAUCACCAGUGGAAGCCUCACAGCCUGCAGAAUGGGACUGAUGGUCUGUGUGCAAAUCCUGAGACAAAGUGGCUCACUCAGUAACUCUUAUACUGGGAAGUAAAUAAUUGUGGUGGGAGCGAGGGGGCAGUGGAUCAAAUCUAUUAAGCAACAUUCCCUGAGCCAAAGCCAGAGAGAGGUUAUUGAAACAUAAUUGCACAUUUGGCUUACAGCACAGUACCAAUAGCUUUCAGUUCUUUUAUGGAUUCUUUUCAGAAAUAUCACAUCACAAUGCUCUUAAUGGUGAGGAAAAUGAUAUUGUGUGGAAAAGCAUCACCAUCAACCGCUCCGUGGUGAGAGUAAGUUGGAUGGACUCAGUAUAAAGAGAUUCUAGGAAUUCCUGAAGAACUUUGAUACUCUCUCUGCCCCCAUUCCCAAAGAUCACCCAGGUCAUCUUCUACAGCCUUUCUCCACCACUCCAUCCCUUUGUCUCAGCCUCCAGCUCACAGAGGCAUUCCUGGAAUCUCUCCAGAAAUGCCACCCAGGGAUUCUGAUGGGUAACAUUUACUGUCUUUACCAGCUUCCAAAUCGAAUCCCCCAGUCUCAUCCUCAACUCUAUAGAACACCACCUGCUGAGUCCUCUCCUCUUCUCUGCCCAUUUCCUUACAGCACCCCCUCUUCUUGUCUGCCCCCAUUCCUAAGUGUCAGCUACCAACACCUAGAAACACUCUACCUGGGACCCCCAAUGGCCACACCUGGCAGGAUCUCAGGACCAGUCCCUACCAGUCAACCUACAGCUAACACACUCUCCUAAGAACCAGAAAGGGCAACAGAAACAAAGGAAUGGAACCUACCCAACAAAGACAAGACCAGAUAUCAGCACCUAGAAUUACAAUCAUCCCAAACCCAGAUGCCUAGGUGCCAGCGUUUGGACACAAUUGCUAAUAGGACAAUGUGCCUCCACUAGAGCCUAGCAACCCUACUACAACAGGCCUGGAGAAAGGUAAAAUAGCUGCAGCACAAAGACUUCAAAUAGCUAUCCUGAGUAUGUUAGAGGUUCUUAAAGAGGUUGUGACUAAAUCCAUUAACGAAAUCUAUAAAGCCACAAACAAUGGGAUGAAAAACAAACAAACCCAAAACCUGUAUAGCCACUAUGGUAAUCAGUGUGACAAUUCCCCAGGAAGUAACUUCAAUCUACUUCAAGAUCCAUGUGCAUCUUGGGCAUAUAUCCAGAAGAUAAUUCAUUGUAAAAUAACAUUUGGUUUCCCCCUAGGUCCAUGGUCUAUCUAGUCUCAGAUGUUUGGCCACCCAAGCAGUGUCAGGUAUGGAUUCCAUCUCUUGCAGUGUGUCUUCAAUCAAAUAGUAGUUGCUUACUUCCAUAACUGUUGUGCUGUAUUGCAUCUGUGUACCUUACAGGUCAGUUACCAUUGUAGAUCAAAGGCUUUGUAGCUAGGUUGGUGUUUACUUUUCUCCUUUGGUAGCACACAGAGUGCUUUCAAGUACCAUGAACACUGGGAGUAAAGACUCUAGAUAGGCACCAGCUCAACUUUGUCAUGUUCAAUGAGUUGUGUGGGUGUUGUUUUCAACAAUAGGCCUUUCUGUCAGUUUUUAGAGUGCAACCUUGGCCAUAGCAUGAGUUGUACUCCUUACCACUUUCUUCUAUACUCAUAGAUCUGUGCCUUGCUCAGCCAUUAUCAGAAAAGCCUCUUUCCUGCAGCAGAUGAGAACAAACACAGAAAUCAACAGCCAGUCAGUGUGCAUAAAGCGAGAGACCUUGGAACACUCUGCCCUAAAAGGGAUAUCAUCAUCAAACUCUUCCCCUU